This 733-nucleotide ribosomal RNA is filed under the name Feramyces austinii. RNAcentral describes it as "eukaryotic LSU rRNA". It matches the Rfam family "Eukaryotic large subunit ribosomal RNA", at positions 63 to 645 of the family's 3401-position model. The record is from RNAcentral. Lineage: Eukaryota; Fungi; Neocallimastigomycota; Neocallimastigomycetes; Neocallimastigales; Neocallimastigaceae.
AACUAACAAGGAUUCCCUUAGUAACGGCGAGUGAAGCGGGAAGAGCUCAAAUUUGAAAUCUUCAAGGUUCUACCUUGACGAAUUGUAGUUUAAAGAAGUGUUUUCUGUUAGAGGAGAGGCAAAAGUUCUUUGGAAUAGGACAUCAUAGAGGGUGAGAAUCCCGUAUUUGGUCAUUCUUUCUAGCUGUGUGAUACACUUUCAAAGAGUCGGAUUGUUUGGGAAUGCAGUCCAAAAUGGGUGGUAAAUUUCAUCUAAAGCUAAAUAUUGGCGAGAGACCGAUAGCGAACAAGUACCGUGAGGGAAAGAUGAAAAGAACUUUGAAAAGAGAGUUAAACAGUACGUGAAAUUGUCAAAAGGGAAGCGUUUGACACCAGUGUUGUUUUUCCGAAAAUCAAUUGUGCCUGGCUGGAUUUUGUAGGAGUUUGACCUUAUCAGCUUCUUCUGCUUUUUUCCGGUCUGGUGCAAUGCACUUUUCGGUUAACAAGUCAACAUCAAUUUCUUUUGUUGUAAAAGGGUAAUUGGAAGGUGGCCUUCUUUUCGGAGAAAGUGUUUAUAGCCUUUUACCUCUACAAUAGGAGAGAUUGAGGUCUGCAGCGUAGAUCCUUCGGGGUUAGAUACAUUUGUGCUAAGUUAUAGCCCUGUAUAGACAACUUGUUGACUAUACUCGGUCAUGUAGCUUACUCGCUUAUGCUAUUUUACCUACGCUUAGGAUGUUGACAAAAUGGUUUUAAAC